GCCUUGGUAGUGUGAUACGUCAGCAUAACAGACUGUACAUCUGUAGAUGCGAGUUCGAGUCCCGCCUGAGGUU
This 73-nucleotide transfer RNA is filed under the name Dictyocaulus viviparus (bovine lungworm). It matches the Rfam family "tRNA". From Rfam's summary of the family: Transfer RNA (tRNA) molecules are approximately 80 nucleotides in length. Their secondary structure includes four short double-helical elements and three loops (D, anti-codon, and T loops). The record is from Rfam by way of RNAcentral. Lineage: Eukaryota; Metazoa; Nematoda; Chromadorea; Rhabditida; Metastrongylidae.